RNAcentral lists this ribosomal RNA (550 nucleotides) under uncultured bacterium. Its description in RNAcentral is "bacterial SSU rRNA". It matches the Rfam family "Bacterial small subunit ribosomal RNA", at positions 777 to 1325 of the family's 1533-position model. The record is from RNAcentral.
AAUAGAUACCCGGGUAGUCCACGCCGUAAACGAUGAGUGCUAAGUGUUGGGGGGUUUCCGCCCCUCAGUGCUGCAGCUAACGCAUUAAGCACUCCGCCUGGGGAGUACGGUCGCAAGACUGAAACUCAAAGGAAUUGACGGGGGCCCGCACAAGCGGUGGAGCAUGUGGUUUAAUUCGAAGCAACGCGAAGAACCUUACCAGGUCUUGACAUCCCGGUGACCACUAUGGAGACAUAGUUUCCCCUUCGGGGGCAACGGUGACAGGUGGUGCAUGGUUGUCGUCAGCUCGUGUCGUGAGAUGUUGGGUUAAGUCCCGCAACGAGCGCAACCCUUAUUCUUAGUUGCCAUCAUUCAGUUGGGCACUCUAAGGAGACUGCCGGUGAUAAACCGGAGGAAGGUGGGGAUGACGUCAAAUCAUCAUGCCCCUUAUGACCUGGGCUACACACGUGCUACAAUGGACGGUACAAACGGUUGCCAACCCGCGAGGGGGAGCUAAUCCGAUAAAACCGUUCUCAGUUCGGAUUGUAGGCUGCAACUCGCCUACAUGAAC